CACGUAGGCGGAUUGCUAAGUCAGGGGUGAAAUCCUGGAGCUCAACUCCAGAACUGCCUUUGAUACUGGCGAUCUCGAGUCCGGGAGAGGUGAGUGGAACUGCGAGUGUAGAGGUGAAAUCCGUAGAUAUUCGCAAGAACACCAGUGGCGAAGGCGGCUCACUGGCCCGGUACUGACGCUGAGGUGCGAAAGCGUGGGGAGCAAACA
This 207-nucleotide ribosomal RNA is filed under the name uncultured bacterium. RNAcentral's name for it is "partial 16S ribosomal RNA". It matches the Rfam family "Bacterial small subunit ribosomal RNA", at positions 568 to 774 of the family's 1533-position model. The record is from RNAcentral.